Molecule: small RNA, 74 nt
Filed under: Xanthomonas vasicola
Lineage: Bacteria; Pseudomonadati; Pseudomonadota; Gammaproteobacteria; Lysobacterales; Lysobacteraceae
Description: sX9 sRNA
Rfam family: Xanthomonas sRNA sX9
Source: RNAcentral
AUGUACCACUCGUACACUCCGGUUCCUGUGCGCCGUCCGCACCCACCUGACGACUGCUAGCGCGGUGAUGAGCG